This 301-nucleotide ribosomal RNA is filed under the name uncultured bacterium. RNAcentral's name for it is "partial 16S ribosomal RNA". It matches the Rfam family "Bacterial small subunit ribosomal RNA", at positions 509 to 807 of the family's 1533-position model. The record is from RNAcentral.
CAGUAGCCGCGGGAAUACGGAGGGUGCGAGCGUUAAUCGGAUUUACUGGGCGUAAAGCGUGCGUAGGCGGCUUUUUAAGUCGGAUGUGAAAUCCCUGAGCUUAACUUAGGAAUUGCAUUCGAUACUGGGAAGCUAGAGUAUGGGAGAGGAUGGUAGAAUUCCAGGUGUAGCGGUGAAAUGCGUAGAGAUCUGGAGGAAUACCGAUGGCGAAGGCAGCCAUCUGGCCUAAUACUGACGCUGAGGUACGAAAGCAUGGGGAGCAAACAGGAUUAGAUACCCCUGUAGUCCCUGUCUCUUAUAC